Rhododendron vialii is the source of this 64-nucleotide small nucleolar RNA. RefSeq annotates it as small nucleolar RNA U49. The record is from RefSeq and is a predicted model, not a curated record. Lineage: Eukaryota; Viridiplantae; Streptophyta; Magnoliopsida; Ericales; Ericaceae. The transcript has a single exon.
UCCCUAUGAGGAAGCAUUCCCAUUCGAUAGGAAGUGCCGUAUGACACUUUACACCGGCGGUGCA